This 74-nucleotide transfer RNA is filed under the name Bacteroidota bacterium. Its description in RNAcentral is "tRNA-Ala". It matches the Rfam family "tRNA". From Rfam's summary of the family: Transfer RNA (tRNA) molecules are approximately 80 nucleotides in length. Their secondary structure includes four short double-helical elements and three loops (D, anti-codon, and T loops). The record is from RNAcentral. Lineage: Bacteria; Pseudomonadati; Bacteroidota.
GGGGGUUUAGCUCAGAUGGCUAGAGCGUGUGACUGGCAGUCACAAGGUCAGGGGUUCGAUUCCCCUAAUCUCCA